UACUGUUAUGUUCUGCAAGGCACAGUUGC
RNAcentral lists this small RNA (29 nucleotides) under Bombyx mori (domestic silkworm). RNAcentral's name for it is "ovarian small RNA-21572". Lineage: Eukaryota; Metazoa; Arthropoda; Insecta; Lepidoptera; Bombycidae. The record is from RNAcentral.